Molecule: ribosomal RNA, 2900 nt
Filed under: Klebsiella quasipneumoniae
Lineage: Bacteria; Pseudomonadati; Pseudomonadota; Gammaproteobacteria; Enterobacterales; Enterobacteriaceae
Description: 23S ribosomal RNA
Rfam family: Bacterial large subunit ribosomal RNA
Source: RNAcentral
UUAAGCGACUAAGCGUACACGGUGGAUGCCCUGGCAGUCAGAGGCGAUGAAGGACGUGCUAAUCUGCGAAAAGCGUCGGUAAGGUGAUAUGAACCGUUACAGCCGGCGAUGUCCGAAUGGGGAAACCCAGUGUGAUUCGUCACACUAUCGUUAACUGAAUACAUAGGUUAACGAGGCGAACCGGGGGAACUGAAACAUCUAAGUACCCCGAGGAAAAGAAAUCAACCGAGAUUCCCCCAGUAGCGGCGAGCGAACGGGGAGCAGCCCAGAGUCUGAAUCAGCUUGUGUGUUAGUGGAACGGUCUGGAAAGUCCGACGGUACAGGGUGAUAGUCCCGUACACCAAAAUGCACAGGUUGUGAACUCGAAGAGUAGGGCGGGACACGUGGUAUCCUGUCUGAAUAUGGGGGGACCAUCCUCCAAGGCUAAAUACUCCUGACUGACCGAUAGUGAACCAGUACCGUGAGGGAAAGGCGAAAAGAACCCCGGCGAGGGGAGUGAAAAAGAACCUGAAACCGUGUACGUACAAGCAGUGGGAGCACCUUUAUGGUGUGACUGCGUACCUUUUGUAUAAUGGGUCAGCGACUUAUAUUCUGUAGCAAGGUUAACCGUAUAGGGGAGCCGCAGGGAAACCGAGUCUUAACUGGGCGUUAAGUUGCAGGGUAUAGACCCGAAACCCGGUGAUCUAGCCAUGGGCAGGUUGAAGGUUGGGUAACACUAACUGGAGGACCGAACCGACUAAUGUUGAAAAAUUAGCGGAUGACUUGUGGCUGGGGGUGAAAGGCCAAUCAAACCGGGAGAUAGCUGGUUCUCCCCGAAAGCUAUUUAGGUAGCGCCUCGUGAACUCAUCUUCGGGGGUAGAGCACUGUUUCGGCUAGGGGGUCAUCCCGACUUACCAACCCGAUGCAAACUACGAAUACCGAAGAAUGUUAUCACGGGAGACACACGGCGGGUGCUAACGUCCGUCGUGAAGAGGGAAACAACCCAGACCGCCAGCUAAGGUCCCAAAGUCAUGGUUAAGUGGGAAACGAUGUGGGAAGGCACAGACAGCCAGGAUGUUGGCUUAGAAGCAGCCAUCAUUUAAAGAAAGCGUAAUAGCUCACUGGUCGAGUCGGCCUGCGCGGAAGAUGUAACGGGGCUAAACCAUGCACCGAAGCUGCGGCAGCGACACUAUGUGUUGUUGGGUAGGGGAGCGUUCUGUAAGCCUGCGAAGGUGACCUGUGAGGGUUGCUGGAGGUAUCAGAAGUGCGAAUGCUGACAUAAGUAACGAUAAAGCGGGUGAAAAGCCCGCUCGCCGGAAGACCAAGGGUUCCUGUCCAACGUUAAUCGGGGCAGGCUGAGUCGACCCCUAAGGCGAGGCCGAAAGGCGUAGUCGAUGGGAAACAGGUUAAUAUUCCUGUACUUGGUGUUACUGCGAAGGGGGGACGGAGAAGGCUAUGUUAGCCGGGCGACGGUUGUCCCGGUUUAAGCAUGUAGGCUGGUUAUCCAGGCAAAUCCGGAUAAUCAAGGCUGAGGUGUGAUGACGAGGCACUACGGUGCUGAAGUAACAAAUGCCCUGCUUCCAGGAAAAGCCUCUAAGCAUCAGGUAACAUCAAAUCGUACCCCAAACCGACACAGGUGGUCAGGUAGAGAAUACCAAGGCGCUUGAGAGAACUCGGGUGAAGGAACUAGGCAAAAUGGUGCCGUAACUUCGGGAGAAGGCACGCUGGUGUGUAGGUGAAGUCCCUGCGGAUGGAGCUGAGACCAGUCGAAGAUACCAGCUGGCUGCAACUGUUUAUUAAAAACACAGCACUGUGCAAACACGAAAGUGGACGUAUACGGUGUGACGCCUGCCCGGUGCCGGAAGGUUAAUUGAUGGGGUUAUCCGUAAGGAGAAGCUCUUGAUCGAAGCCCCGGUAAACGGCGGCCGUAACUAUAACGGUCCUAAGGUAGCGAAAUUCCUUGUCGGGUAAGUUCCGACCUGCACGAAUGGCGUAAUGAUGGCCAGGCUGUCUCCACCCGAGACUCAGUGAAAUUGAACUCGCUGUGAAGAUGCAGUGUACCCGCGGCAAGACGGAAAGACCCCGUGAACCUUUACUAUAGCUUGACACUGAACAUUGAGCCUUGAUGUGUAGGAUAGGUGGGAGGCUUUGAAGCGUGGACGCCAGUCUGCGUGGAGCCAACCUUGAAAUACCACCCUUUAAUGUUUGAUGUUCUAACGUUGGCCCCUGACCGGGGUUGCGGACAGUGUCUGGUGGGUAGUUUGACUGGGGCGGUCUCCUCCCAAAGCGUAACGGAGGAGCACGAAGGUUAGCUAAUCCUGGUCGGACAUCAGGAGGUUAGUGCAAUGGCAUAAGCUAGCUUGACUGCGAGCGUGACGGCGCGAGCAGGUGCGAAAGCAGGUCAUAGUGAUCCGGUGGUUCUGAAUGGAAGGGCCAUCGCUCAACGGAUAAAAGGUACUCCGGGGAUAACAGGCUGAUACCGCCCAAGAGUUCAUAUCGACGGCGGUGUUUGGCACCUCGAUGUCGGCUCAUCACAUCCUGGGGCUGAAGUAGGUCCCAAGGGUAUGGCUGUUCGCCAUUUAAAGUGGUACGCGAGCUGGGUUUAGAACGUCGUGAGACAGUUCGGUCCCUAUCUGCCGUGGGCGCUGGAGAAUUGAGGGGGGCUGCUCCUAGUACGAGAGGACCGGAGUGGACGCAUCACUGGUGUUCGGGUUGUCAUGCCAAUGGCACUGCCCGGUAGCUAAAUGCGGAAGAGAUAAGUGCUGAAAGCAUCUAAGCACGAAACUUGCCCCGAGAUGAGUUCUCCCUGAGACUUUAAGUCUCCUGAAGGAACGUUAAAGACGAUGACGUUGAUAGGCCGGGUGUGUAAGCGCAGCGAUGCGUUGAGCUAACCGGUACUAAUGAACCGUGAGGCUUAACCU